Molecule: ribosomal RNA, 430 nt
Filed under: Bacillota bacterium
Lineage: Bacteria; Bacillati; Bacillota
Description: Firmicutes bacterium partial 16S ribosomal RNA
Rfam family: Bacterial small subunit ribosomal RNA
Source: RNAcentral
UGGGGAAUAUUGGACAAUGGGCGCAAGCCUGAUCCAGCCAUGCCGCGUGUGUGAAGAAGGCCUUUUGGUUGUAAAGCACUUUAAGCGAGGAGGAGGCUACUUGGAUUAAUACUCUAAGAUAGUGGACGUUACUCGCAGAAUAAGCACCGGCUAACUCUGUGCCAGCAGCCGCGGUAAUACAGAGGGUGCGAGCGUUAAUCGGAUUUACUGGGCGUAAAGCGUGCGUAGGCGGCUUCUUAAGUCAGAUGUGAAAUCCCUGAGCUUAACUUAGGAAUUGCAUUCGAUACUGGGAAGCUAGAGUAUGGGAGAGGAUGGUAGAAUUCCAGGUGUAGCGGUGAAAUGCGUAGAGAUCUGGAGGAAUACCGAUGGCGAAGGCAGCCAUCUGGCCUAAUACUGACGCUGAGGUACGAAAGCAUGGGGAGCAAACAGG